This 496-nucleotide ribosomal RNA is filed under the name uncultured bacterium. Its description in RNAcentral is "partial 16S ribosomal RNA". It matches the Rfam family "Bacterial small subunit ribosomal RNA", at positions 28 to 507 of the family's 1533-position model. The record is from RNAcentral.
GAUGAACGCUGGCGGCGUGCCUAAUACAUGCAAGUCGAGCGAACAGACGAUAAGCUUUCGCCUCUGACGGUAGCGGCUGACGGGUGAGUAACACGUGGAUAACCUACUUAUAUUACUGGGAGGAUUUCGUGAAACCGGUUCUGAUACUAGAUAAUAUAUCGUACCGCAUGGAUCAAUAGUUAAUGACGCCUUUCCUGUCACUUAGAGAUGGUCCCGCGCCGCAUUAGCUAGUUGGUAAGGUAACGGCUUACCAAGGCAACGAUGCGUAGCCGACCUGAGAGGGUGAUCGGCCACACUGGAACUGAGACGCGGUCCAGACUCCUACGGAGGCAACAGGAGGGAAACAUCCGCAAUGGGCGGAAGCCUGACGGCGCAAAGACGGGUGAGGGAUGAAGGUCUUCCGGUCGGAAAACUCUGUUAUUGGGGAAGAAAAGCUGUGUAAGUAAAUAUGGACGUCUUGACGGUACCCAAUCAGAAAGCCACGGCUAACUUCGUG